This 1160-nucleotide long non-coding RNA is filed under the name Elaeis guineensis (African oil palm). RNAcentral describes it as "long non-coding RNA (EGUI_LNC076941)". The record is from RNAcentral. Lineage: Eukaryota; Viridiplantae; Streptophyta; Magnoliopsida; Arecales; Arecaceae.
GAUUUCUCAAGUAAAAUUCAGAAAAUAGUUGGCCAAUAACAAUGUUAAUAUGCAAAACUCAAGCACCAUUGGCUUCUAAGAGUUUGCCUUCAGCUGGUGCAAAGAAGGGCAUAUGCCAGAGUCAUGGGCAAGACUGCCAACCCCUUGCUCUCAAACAGCUCAUUUGCAGAAUUCAUGCUCGAUAUCAUCAGUUGCCCCAUCAUUUCUUCAAGAGGCUCACCACACAUUUGUUGAUGGAGCAAGUAGUGUCCAUACCCCUGCAAAACCACAUUAUUUUUCAGGUAUAGGCAGUUCCCAUAUCACAGUCUGAUAAAAAGAAAAGAGAUGGAUAUCUUUUGUUAUCUCCAUGGACUGUCUCUAGCUCAGAGAUGAAAUACUGUAAAAAUUCUGCAGUAACGGCAGAUUGGUAAUGCCAGAUACAAGACCAAUUAUCACAUUGCUUCAUUGGAUUAUCCUCACAUUGUCAGUAUGCAGCCUAUCCACUGCACCUUAAAAAUAUCUUAUUCUUGUUCCUUAAAACUGUUAGAACAUGGCCAUAUCCAUAUGUUACAUUCGCAUUCAAACAACAUCACAGCAAGUAUAGAGAACAGGUAAACUUUUGAGGGCUCCUGCAGCAGCAAUAUAGAGACAGCUGUUCUUCAUCUAAAUGAAUGAAGGUAUUGGGAUUCUCUCCUAGUAUUUCCAUGAUUACUCGCUGUUUAGCAUUUUGGUUGGUUAUAUCCCAAUGCUUUUAGAUGUUUUCAAGAUCACAUGAUGCAAGAGUUUUCUCAUUAAGCUGCUGAAAAAGCUUUCAGAACCCUCACACCAGAUAGCCUAAAGAAUUAUGCAUAGAAACCAUACAUUUGCAGUGACAGACAUAUAUGGAUCAGAACAUGUCGAACAAUGUUACAUUGCCAACUUUUCCAGAUAACAAUUAAGUUCAUUUUUUACGAAUACAGGAGAUAAAUACCAAGUAGUAUCAUAUAUUGUUUUUCCAACAUACCAACAUUUUUACCUUAAGAGAACUCGGUGAACAAACAAAAGAUUUGUUCUAUAUUACAAGACCAUUUUAAACUUCUACAAGCUAAGGGACAUUAACUUUAAAAUGCAACUCAACAGAGUAGUGUGUUUAUAGAUAGUCUCAAAUGCAUGCAUGUAGCUUUGAUUGGUGAAAUUAUUUU